RNAcentral lists this ribosomal RNA (486 nucleotides) under uncultured bacterium. RNAcentral's name for it is "partial 16S ribosomal RNA". It matches the Rfam family "Bacterial small subunit ribosomal RNA", at positions 28 to 507 of the family's 1533-position model. The record is from RNAcentral.
AUUGAACGCUGGCGGCAUGCCUUACACAUGCAAGUCGAACGGCAGCACGGGUCCUUGCACCUGUUGGCGAGUGGCGAACGGGUGAGUAAUACAUCGGUACAUGUCCUGUGGUGGGGGAUAGCCCGGCGAAAGCCGGGUUAAUACCGCAUACGAUCUACGUAUGAAAGCGGGGGACCUGCGGACCUCGCGCGGUUGGGUUUGCCGAUGGGUGAUUAGCUCGUUGUGGGGGUAAAGGCCUACAAAGGCGACGAUCAGUAGCGGGUGUGUGAGGGCGAUCGGCCACAUGGGGACUGGGACACGGCCCAGGCUCCUACGGGAGGCAGCAGUGGGGAAUUUUGGACAAUGGGCGAAAGCCUGAUCCAGCAAUGCCGCGUGUGUGAAGAAGGCCUUCGGGUUGUAAAGCACUUUUGUCCGGAAAGAAAUCCUUGGCCCUAAUACGGUCGGGGGAUGACGGUACCGGAAGAAUAAGCACCGGCUAACUACGUG